UGUCAAACCCAAAUCCCCUAUAUUCCCAGUCGCGUUUCUUGAAACGGAUAGCUUUUUCGUGAACGGUUGGGAGAGAGAGCGAGCGAAGUCAGAUAGUUCUUCCCUUUUUAUUCUCCUGUGUUGGCCUCUUUCUUCUCAAUUUUUUUGAACGACUGAGAGAGAGGAACAUUGGAGAAGAAGAGGUAAUGGCAAAGAAUUCUCCACCCGCGGAUUCUAGAGAAUGCGACCCCUUUGUUGCUCAGAUCAGACUGCUGCUUCCGAGGCCAAGACCGAUGUCACUCCUCCGAUCGCCGGCUGAUAUGCCUAGGGCUUCGUUCUCUUUGUGGAGCAUAUACAAGAAGCAGAACCGGAAAUUUCUUUUAUGAUUUCCCAGCACCAUGCUCAUACCUAUCCAGAGAACAAUAACGCAGCACCAUUGAAAUUUUCAAGGGUGCUUUGGUGAAACGUCUUGGAUUUUGAAGUUAGAGAAAGGUACUAUUGUGAUUACCGCGAUACCUAUUUGACUCACGAUCCUCUAUCUGCAAGGAAGUAACAUAUUUGCAGGUUAUAAACAUAAGGCAAAUGUGAGGUUGUACUGCCAGCAAUUUGAAGAGCAACAAACCCAAAGUACAUCUUGGGCAAGCUACAACUAUUCAGCAGGUGAGUGCUUCAACCUCUCAGUUCUUCAAUUUUCUUCAUUUUUCAGGUAUGUGCUCGAGAAAAUGAUUCUCCGGAUUACUCCUUAAUCUGUGGUUUUGGAGAUUGAUUUGCAUGUGAAUAGUUAGUUUUCUUCUCUGAUUAAAAACCAAAAAUGCUUGGAUUAUUGCGAUUUGGAUUCAAAAGCAAAAGGGAAUAAUGAAAACAUAGGUUGCUGACUUGGUUUGCUUUCUGUUAUAAACUGUUAAAUAAAUAACAUGCUGUCUUAUGUAUGUUUCCAAUUAAUUGGUUCUAUUCUUAGGAGUAUGACCAUAUUACUUAAAACUGAGAACAUUUAUCUUGGUUAUAGUUUUUGCAUCGUAGAUAUUGAUUAUGAAGGAGAUUGACUCUUUUUAUCAUAUUUCUCCGGCAGUAGUGGAAAAUGAAAAUCCUUUGAAAGUGCUUUAUUCUCUUAUUUCAAUUUUCUCUAAUAUUUCUCAGAGUAGUUAUUCGUUUCUGAAAUCUCUCAACUUUCAUAAGGAUAUUGUUGUUCAAACCAAGUUUUAAACUUUCCGGUGAGCAUAAACAAAAGUUUUAAUUGUGAUUCAUCUGCUUAGGGAAGAAUAAAGUCACUUUUAAUUAGAAAAUAGAGGUUUCACAGUUACAAAAAUAAAUUGUCAUGAGUUAUUAUGCAUUAAGUGCGUUUAAGGGCCAUCAUUAUUUGCUAUGUAACCACAUAGCAUUAGCUUUAUGUCUAUUUAAGAUUUUUAAUUGAGGUGUUAUUAUGUAUUGAUUAUGAAUUACUCUUGAAUAAAUGGAGUACCAUCUCAGGUAGCAUUUGCUUAGAGAAGAAAUUAUAAAGUCACUUUUAAUUAGAAAAUUGAGGUUUCACAUUUACAAAAAUAAAUUGUCUUUAGUUAUGCAUUAAGUGUGUUUAAGGACCAUCAUUAUUUGUUAUGUAACCACAUAGCAUUAGCUUUAUGCCUAUUUAAGAUUUUUAAUUGAGGUGUUAUGUAUUGAUUAUGAAUAACUCUUGAAUAAAUGAAGUACCAUCUCAUGGAGCAUGUGUAGGAUGUGUGAUUGAAUAAUAGAAUUCCUCAUUACAAGAUAGAGGCUGAGUGAUAUUUCAUGGAUUACUUUUUCCAUCUUUUCCCCUGGGUUACAACGCUUACUGAAAUUGAUUUUUAUUUGCAGACUUUGGACUUAAGGUUAUUUCAUAGAUUAGUUGACUUUUAAGAAUUUUAUGGGUUUCAGAUUCGAUGGUAUUCAUGACCUUUCUAGAUUGCUACUAAAAAAAAUGACCUUUCUAGAUUAUUUCUGUGUUAUAUUUGACGGAUUGUAAAUGUUAUCGUGAUACUUUGUGCGGUCUUUUUAGGGUAAUUGAGAAGUCCUCUAAAGAGUAUGUAAAUUAAACAAAAGGGUGUGCUCAUGAGCAAAGUUCACUGAAGAGUAUAUGUAAAUUAAAAAGAAGAGUGUGCUAAUUAAUCAUAGGUAGCCAUAUUAACUA
Long non-coding RNA from Lotus japonicus, 2122 nucleotides. RefSeq lists it as uncharacterized. The transcript is spliced from 5 exons. NCBI's taxonomy places the organism in Eukaryota, Viridiplantae, Streptophyta, Magnoliopsida, Fabales, Fabaceae. The record is from RefSeq and is a predicted model, not a curated record.